GCCAUGGCCAUAGAUUUCAUCAUCACCUGUAAAGGAACCUCUCUCUGAUGCUCCUCCUCCUCCACAUGUGGAUACAUCUGUCCUUAGUGCUCCACCUUCCUGUGAUCCGAUGAUCCUGCAAUAGGCAACUUCGAUAAACACACCAUCAACUAUCCAAUUUGCAUCGAUCGAACCUCCGACUGAUCUUCUAUGGCUGAAGCAAUCACCUUAGCCUCCCCAGACACAACAGAUCUCUCCAUCUGGUAUAGCUGACUCCUCAACCUUCUCCCUCUCAUCACAAUCCUAUUGCCCUUGG
This 295-nucleotide long non-coding RNA is filed under the name Elaeis guineensis (African oil palm). RNAcentral's name for it is "long non-coding RNA (EGUI_LNC056926)". Lineage: Eukaryota; Viridiplantae; Streptophyta; Magnoliopsida; Arecales; Arecaceae. The record is from RNAcentral.